AUAGUGAAACCUUGUCUCAAAAAGGAAAAAAAAAAAAAAAAAAAUUCAUAUUUCUCUGUAACUUCCCAGUCCAGAAAGGAAUGUGUAAUCAUUGCAAGAAAGAUAAAAAUAGACAGACAUGGUGGUACACCCUGGUAAUCACCAGGAGUUGGAGGCCAGCCUGGGCUACAUAGUGAGUUCAAGGUCGGCCUGAACUGCCUACCAAGAUCUUGUCUCAAGAAAAGCUCAGCAAAUAAAAGCCGUGUUAGCCAAAAGUUACAUACAGAUACACAUUCACGGGCCUCUGCUAGGUAAGUUCUGUGCAGACUCCGCCCCUCCGCGGUGUUCUGCCAACCUUGUCCUGCCUCAGAGGGACCCGCUGGCUUCGGUCCUAGUCCUCCCUCCCCGGCAGAGCUGGCCGCAUGGUCCAGAGCUGUCCACCCUGCUGGGUGUGUUACAGGAAGUAGGACGCGUAGGAGGAGCCAGGGCUCCUGGGCAGGUGAAGGGAAGCCUGGGGGAGCCGUGGCUUUUGGGUCCCUCAGCCUAGGCCUGCCCUCCUGGUGCUGGGCCAUGUGGCUGUCACUGCCCUGAGGGGAGGAGUGGGAUGUGAGGACUGUGAGGCUGGCAGGGCGCUGAGGGAGGCUGAACUGGACCAGAGCGCCCGUCCCUGCGCCCAGCCCCGCCUGUGGAGAGCAGUGGGGAUGAACGUGCUCUUCCUUCCUGACAGUGGCGCAGGGCUGCCACCCCUAACCUUCCCCAAGGAGGAGCUGGGCCCAGGCUGACCGGGGCUGAGGUUAGAAAGUGCUCGACCCCAUCUGCCAUCCCCGGGAAGAACUGGGUGUUCGGAGGUGGAGACUGCAGGCGUCUAGGAGCUGGGGUGCAGCUGGUCCCGAUUCAAGAGCGGCCUCGGAGGACCAGGGCAGGACAUCAGUGCCUUUUGGAUAUCAGCCAGCACCUCACCACCUUCUUCUCCUGGACACUGAGCUGUCUCCUCAUGGGGUCACCAGGGCCAGCCCUGCUGGACAGGAAGUCAGGCGAGCAGCAGCUCCCAACCCUGCCUGGGCCUCUUCCUGUCCCCAGGGACGGGCCGGAGGAGCACCUGACAGGUGGCCUUCCCUGUUUGCACACCUGUGGGAGCCCCACCCCACCCUGCGCAGCCCCCAAGCCUCUAGGAGUUCCUCCUUCCUGGCCCACGGGCGACCCUGAAAGCUCACAUGUUGGAAGCACAAUCCCCAAACUCACGUGUCAGUGCUACUUGGAGGGGCCUCUGGGCCGGCUGGAGAGGUAGACGAGGAUGUGAAGGUGGAGGCCAUGUGAUGCGGUGGUGGUUUUAUAAGACGACGAAGAGCUGGGACAAGGCAGAAAGAUUGCUAUCCUGGAUAACAGUAAUUUAGGGAGACCCUGUCUCAAAAAAAAAGAAAAAGAAAAAGAAAAAACAAGUGCUAGGGAGGAAGCUCAGUCUGAUAGCUCUGAGUCCAAUCCUGAGUGCAAAAAAAAUAUUUUUAAAAGAGGAGAGGAAGGGGAGGAGAAGCAGAGGACAGCUGGGUGUGACAGUGCAUGCACAGAAUCCCAGUGGCUCGGGAGGCUGAGGCAAGAGAA
Chinchilla lanigera (long-tailed chinchilla) is the source of this 1578-nucleotide long non-coding RNA. RefSeq lists it as uncharacterized. NCBI's taxonomy places the organism in Eukaryota, Metazoa, Chordata, Mammalia, Rodentia, Chinchillidae. The record is from RefSeq and is a predicted model, not a curated record. The transcript has 2 exons.